CACGCACGUUAUUACAACUGCACGUUAGGCAAAAAGUUAAAAAUACGACUCUGAUAAGAAGAUUGCUCGAGAAGACAGCGCGAGGAGGGAAAAGGCUGAUACGAUGGCUACAGGUGGAGAGGCUGUUGGCAAGGAAAAAAAGAUGCCCUGUUUGCGACAGCAGGAUGCAAUUUAAAAAAACCAACAUGACCAAGGAUGGCUAUCGGUGGUAAGUGAUACUAGCUUUAUUGCCAAACAUAAGCUACACCCAGUCUGUAGCCACACUCCCAGUCAGAUCAUGUUAUACAUCUGCUUACUAUUUAUUUAUUUAUUUUAUAUUGAAGCCAAUGGCAAGUGAUUGCAUUGUGUCUAUUCAGUACGCUAAUGUAAUACUACUUCAAACUAUGUUUACAGUCAUGGUAUGUUUUGUUACAGGGUCUGCAGACGGUCAAUACACAGGGGAAGGGCCAUCACAAGAUCCAUCAGAGACGGCUCUAUAUUCUCCAGGUCUCACAUUCCUCUUGCAUCAUGGAUGAACAUUAUGCACAGGUUUGAUGCUCUCUCUUGCUCUCCCUCUCACCCCCUCUGAAAUGGCGUUAUAGGCAUGAUGUAACACUAUUUGGAAAAAUGAAGCGUGUAUCUUUCAUGCUUUCAAGCUGUGUAAAAUAUGUUUGGUUAAGCAAUAAUCUUUUUUUUUGUUUGUUUUAUUUUCAUUUUAUCUUUAAUCAAAUCAAAUUUUAUUUAUAUAGCGCCAACUCACAACAGUCGUCAUCUCAAGACGCUUUUCAAAGAGCAAGAGCAGGUCUAGACCACGCUCAUAGUUUGAUGAUCAAGAACCAACCUAAGAUGGGUUUUGUCCCAUCUUAACUAACAUGAGCGGCAGUGGCAAGGAAAAACUUCCUUUUAACAGGCAGAAACCUUGGGCAGGACCAGCCUCAUGUUAGACAGCCACCAUGCCGCAGCUGGGUUGGGGAGGAAUGUAGAGAGAUGGAGGGAGAGAGAGGAGAGAGAGAAGAGGGGAGAGGGAGAGAGAGAGAACAAGAUAAGGGAAGGCGAGAGAGAAUGGGGGGGGGGGUAGAGAACAAGGGUGAGAGAGAGACAGGGGGCAGCAGAAACAACAGCAACAACAACAACAACAGCUCAUGUAAUGGUGAAACAAAAUGAGUUCAGUUUACAGGGUUAGGAUAUGAGUGAUUAUGGACAAUGUUAAAUUAAUUGAAUGUGAUUACAGUCAGCAGGCCUAAUCAUAGUCAACUCUAGUUUAUGUUAUUAAUGUCAGUAAUGUCAGUGAGGCUGAUGUUCAUGUCUGCAGUAACAGUCCAGAGGAAUCCAAGAGAAGAAGGAGCUCAGGGUCUGAGGCGGACAAUCAUAGAUGAUGCGGCUAGAGUCAGGCAGGUCUGCAGCAGCCAUCAGCAGAUUUAAGAUUAUUCCAAUCAGGCUGACCUGAUAGUACAUGCAUAUACUGCUAGUAACUGCUGUCACAAUUAUUACCUAAUAAUUGUGAUACAUUUUUGAUAAAUGCAAUUUUUUUAGACAAUCUUCUAAAUUGUUCCAUGUUGAAAAAUUUUCAUACUUGACAUCAGCAUAACAUAUUAAUUGAAAACUGGCCUAGACCCUGUGAAGUCACAUAGAUAUGGACACAAAGUCACGGAUAGGAGUUGUCACCCCGCAUUAAGCAGAUCAACCAGCAUUUGUGACGGAUUGUAAGCUUGUAUUUCUGCAAAUUAUUUCAAAGAGGCAGUGCCAUGUUUUUUUUUCAUCCAAAACAUGAUAAUCAGCUAUUAAUAUUAAAUAAGGAGGAAAAAGUGUACAGAAAGUGUUAAAAGGAUGUUUUUAUGUGGCCACACCCACCUGUUCAUUAAAGGGACAUGAAACCCAAAAUCCCCUUUUCUUAGAUUUUAACAAAAAUAAUUAAGUCAUUUGUGAUAGGGGGAAGUUAGAAAGUACACUUGGUUCAUAGGUUUCUAGUUUCAGAGCUGUUUGCUGUUUAUAUGGCAAUUUUUUGGCUCUUUCGGCUGCAGGUUAAUAAAUUAUUCUCACAUAUCAUUUUAUCACUGUGUGUCAAAUGCACAGCGUGACAUCUCCCUCUACUGGCCAAAGCCCAGAGCCAUGGCCAAAGAUAUACUAGCUAUUUUAGCGAUGUUCAGUCGGCCCCUAGCGUCUGUAUCUCUCAUGAAAAAUUAUGCAAUUUAUUUUUUCACUUAGUGGUACAGUAAAAUGCCCAACCUGCGUAGAGGUUUUAUGGACAACUGUUGUUUAAUAGGAAAACGUAACGUGGCUACUAGUGGGUUUGUAAUGGCACCACAGCACAUCGAGUGCCAAUCCCAUAGCCUGGAGGGACGACAGCAUUGUGAGCAUUGCUUGUCUAUGAAGCGUGUGUCUGCCCCAUAGCCUGCUGACAACACUGACACUGACAACAUGCUCAAUUGCUAUCAUAAGCACCAACGUAACUGUACUGUAUAAUACACUUCCCUUAACUAGAGUUCAAAACUAUCCAUCGGUUGAUAAUAUGUUGACAUUUGUUGUGUCAGUUUGUCACAGGGUUUGAGGAGAAGGCAAGUGGAUAUGAUACAGGAUGGAGUAUGCGGGAGCAGCAGAUCACUGACCAGGGUGACCACAUUUUUGCGUCAAGUUUGCUGUGAAUCAGUCAGGUGACUGGAGCGACGGCGGGGGAUGCAGAUUGGAGGGAUAAGAGCAUUUGUGGUGAUAGACGAGAGCAAGUUUAGACACAAAAGGAAGGUAAUGUUAUAAUUUGUUGUUGCCACAGACCCACAUCUGAUUUUUAUUAUUUUUUUAUACUUUGUGAUCCUCAGAAGAGAAGAGUAAAAUGUAAUUCUUACAACACCUUCGCAACACAAUAGAUGUACAAGCUCGUAGCACAGGGGUGGGCAACUUCGAUGAUGGCAUGGGCCACAUUCACUGCAGAGGGCCACAUUCUAUGUCACACAAAUGUAGCAAAAAUAGCCGAUCUACAAGCUCAAAAUGCAUUAUGACGUGUUUUGAGCUUGUGGAUCGGCUAUUUUUGCUAUGUUUUAAUUCUUGAAAUUCCAAAUGCAUUUAGUUAUCCUAAUGUUAAGUUUAUAACCUUAAAUAUAAGUACAUUCAUUGCACAUAAAAGAAACAAUAACAUUUUAAUACUAGUCAUUAAGCUACUAAUAUAGACUGAAGUAAUUAAAGCAUGUCAUGUUUGCAUGUUUGGAAUUGGUAACAGCUGAAAUCAAUAAUAUAUCAGUAUUGCCAUAUUAGCCUGAGGGCCACAUUAAGUGAAGGUGGGGGCCGCAUGUGGCCCGAACCGCAUGUUGCCCAUGUAUGUCGCAGCAUGUCACAAAGUGACGCACACUUAGCUUGUACAUCUGCCUUGAACCCCUCCAAGGACCCCACUUUGAGAGCCAAUGGCAUAAAUUACUGCAGUAUUUUUUCUUGCUUUGCUGUUACAAAAGGCAAGGUACCAAGUAGUCGACCUUCACUAACAGUUCUCUUCAAUGAAACAGUUAACAUUUCUCCUGUGCAGAGGGGAAAAAUCUGGGAAGUGACUUUUGGACCCACUAUCUAAAAGCUUGGGGCAUUAACACAAUUUUGGGUAAAAUAAAAUAGGAGGCAGUGCAUAAAGUUUCUAAAACGUAGUGUAAACAACAAUGGUUGCUUGUGUGAGUGUGUCCUCCAUUAUAGUCUUAUAAAACUUGCAGUGUGCAUUAGAGAUAGAAAUAGAUUAAGGAUAAAAAUGAUCAAACUGUAUGAUGCAGGGCAAUUUUUACCACUGGGCAGUGUUGCCCAUUAGCAAUUUUGUCGCUAUUUUUAGUUACUUUCUGUAACCCCCACUCCCCAGCGAGAAAAUUAGAGAAAAGUGACUAGCGACAAAUUUAGUGACGUUUAUGGAUGUUCAGAGGCUCCAAGUUCACAAAAUUAAACAAAAAAAGUCUUUUCCUUUUAUUUUUGCAGGUUUUCCUUGUAUUUGUGUUGCUUUACUUGUAUUUGUGCUGCUUUCCUUUGCCCUCUCGGUUAAUACAUGCGCAGGCAUGUAUUGUAUUGUAGGCAUGUAUUUACAGGCAGCAACGUCACUACGUCGCACUACUUCAUUUGAGCUGCCCUGCCCCUUUCCUAUACAAACUCAUUGUAGCUUUAAAAUCCAUUUUAACCAUGACAGACCUUUUUUUUGGUGACUCAUAGUGUCCUCCUAAUACGUGAGGGGGCCCUGUUUUUUCAUUUAAUGUUUUGAUUUUUUUUAAAUAAUUGUUUUGGAAAAGAAUAAGUAGCAGGAGUUGGCCGGAGGACACUAAACAUAUAUUAAAAUUCUAUGAAAACAGUAAAUGAAAAAACAUGGCCCCCUCAUUAUGAGGGCAGUCACCAUAAAAAAGGUUGAAGCUACAAUGGGUUUGUAUAGGACAGGGGGCAGGGCAGCUAAAAUGAAUAUAUUGAAUAUGUAAAUACUGAAACGAAUAAUUUUGAAUUGUCUGGGGUGUUCACAUAAGCAGGAGUGGAUGAUAAAAUGACCAAAAGUAUUUUCGGAAGUGAAAUAUCCCUUUAAGAUUGACAUUCUGUUUGUUUUCAGUAUGGACGUUGUUGAAGUUGUCCAAACUUCCCCAAAUCCGUUAAUGGAGACUGGAACAGAGGAUUCAAUGAGGCAAAAAGGUGUCUUCAACCAACCUUUUAUUUCUGCA
This 4637-nucleotide long non-coding RNA is filed under the name Xyrichtys novacula (pearly razorfish). Lineage: Eukaryota; Metazoa; Chordata; Actinopteri; Labriformes; Labridae. The record is from RNAcentral.